AGUCAUAAACGCCGGCACCGCUAUCUUCCGCUGCAAUCUCGACAAACCCCUCAAACAUCUCACCUUGGAUGACAUUUCCCAGCUCACCCGUGAAGAUUGUCACAGGUUCCUUCUUUCUUUCUCUCUCCCUUACAUUUUUUAUUUGCCAGCUCACCACUAGCACCGCCACUUUCCGCUGCAUUCUCUCUCACGACGAGAUUGUCUGUUUGAUCGAAUAGCCUGAAACCCAUGAUUUCUUAGAUACAGGUCUUCGACUUCUGCAAAUCAUUUCACAGAUCUCAUCAUUCUUCUUCCUCUUGAGGAGGACAAAAUGAAAGAGGGUUGAUGACGACGGAUGCUCUGAUGGUGAGAAAGACGACGAGCAUUGAGGGGAGGAAGAAUUCUUACAGUUGUUUAAUUUUUUGUCCAACUCAGACAUUAUUUUGUCAUAUUUGCCUCCACCUCACCAUUUUUAGUCAAAAAGUUUUUUCUAAACGGUCAACAUUACUUAGUUUAACAGACAUUUUAGAGCCUUUUUUGAAUCAUCAUGGAUAUUUUUGCUCACAA
Long non-coding RNA from Neltuma alba, 546 nucleotides. RefSeq lists it as uncharacterized. The record is from RefSeq and is a predicted model, not a curated record. NCBI's taxonomy places the organism in Eukaryota, Viridiplantae, Streptophyta, Magnoliopsida, Fabales, Fabaceae. The transcript has 2 exons.